Long non-coding RNA from Bos taurus (domestic cattle), 2226 nucleotides. The record is from Ensembl. Lineage: Eukaryota; Metazoa; Chordata; Mammalia; Artiodactyla; Bovidae.
AGCUUCAGCGGGAGCAGUAGCUGAACAGAGUCAACUAAUGAAGCCUCCCAUUCUUCCAGGGAUAACAUAAGGACCAUAGCCCUUUGGUUAAAUCAUGUAAGUGGGCAUUGGAUAAAGGUGAGAACUGUGCCGGAACUGACACACUAAAACUUGGUUUAUAGGUGGCUGGAGCCACAUGAGGGCAAGCAGAUUGCCACCAAAUGAGAAAGAUUUAGUAUGUGUUUCUCUUGCUGCUGCUAAGUUGCUUCAGUCAUGUCCGACUCUGUGCGACCCCAUAGACCGCAGCCCACCAGGCUCCUCCACCCGUGGGAUUUUCCAGGCAAGAGUAAUGGAAAAACUUGAUUCAGAAACACUACAGAGAAGAACAAGAUGGCAGAGGAGUAGAUGGUUGUAGAGUACAUGUCUCUCCACUGGAUACAUCAGGAAUACACCUUCAGACACAGAAGUGCAUGCAAAACACCAGCUGAGAGCAGACAGGAGUACCUGACCAGUGGAAAAGAAUAUAUAGAACCACGCAAAACUCAGUAGGAGGAAGGAACUAGGGGGAAAACAGGAGUGUUAGUAGGACUGGACCUGCCCUUGGCAGGUGGGGGAACUGGCAAUUAUCUAAGUCAGAGGAGAAAGAUUUAAGGCUGAGAGUGAAACAGCUGAUCUGUAGCAGCCUAAAUGGAAUGAGAAUCAGACAGUCCUUGUCACAGCCAUACAUACCCUGGACAGGGACUCGGGUCCCCUAGAAGGCACAGAGGCUGGGAGCUGGAGUUUAGGGAUUGUGGAGCAAUCCCAGUGAGAGGGCUGCUGUUGACUGCAGAGAGACAGAUUGAGGGGAUGUGAGGGAGGAGACUGUGGUGGGAAAUGCCUGUGGAGGAAAGCCAGGCAGCCAUGGAAGCAAAGUGAUACUGCUGAGUCACACAUAGGGGAUUGAGCCAUCACCAUAGCCUCUCUCUUCCCACAUGCCAGCAUUGCCAGCUGAACAAUGGAGAGGCUGACCCAUCAAACUCCUGACACACUCAACUACAGAGUAGGACCCCACCCAGGGUCUCCUUAACUGCCUGAUGCACCAAUCUACAGAAUAGGACCCCAGCCAGGGGGGCCUCUCUAUGUGCCUGAUGUGCUGUGAGCUAUGGAGAAAGACUGGCCAAAGAGGCCCUUUUGAUCAUGAGCUACAAGAAGAUCAAAAAAAAAGACACUGACAGGGCCAUAACUCCUGCGGCAGAGGCAGUCGAUGUCCUUAACACUUGGUGCCACAAGGGUCUCCACAAGCCAAGCAGCUGUGCCACCUUCACGUUCCACUCUCACUGGGGCAGAGCUGUCACAGGCAAAAAAAUUCUUCUGUUUAUGCAUGCAGGGUCGCACUGGUCAUGUCCAACUCUUUGUGACCCUGUAGACUGUCACCUGCCAGGCUUCUCUGUCAGGGGAGUUCUCUGGGCGAGAAUACUGGAGUGUAUUGGCCAAUACUGAUUGCCAUAUCUUUCUAGAACACUAUAUUUCCUGCUGCCCUAGCUGCCAUCUCCUCUGAGUACCUGGUGCUGCCAGAACACCUGUGACCCAAGCAGCUGCACCACCUCCACACCUGGCCCUCACAGGGGCAAACCCAAGUCCUCCAGGGCAGCCUCAGGAGCAAACCCAAGUGGACAACCCUCAUUUAGAGGUGGAAAUAAAACCACAGUUGAAACCCAGGGGCAGUGUGGCUAAUGAAGAAGACCUAAACUUUCCCACCAGCUUUACAAGCUAUGGAUUAAAUCCACACAAUCAACUAGGCAGACUCUCUCUAUGGAAUUUAUAAAAGGACACUGAGAGCUCCACAAAAGAAAAUACACUAGUUCUGAGAGCUGUGGACGUUGGAGGCAAGAACACACAGGAGCCAGAUCAACACUGGAGCUUCCCCCACGGUAGGUCCAGAGACCAGCAGUGUUGGAGGGCAUCCUAGGGAGGUGAGGUGGACUGUGACUCCCAGCGAGGGAAAGGACUCUGACAGCAGUGACUCAAGAAAAACAUCUAUUAAUUUUAUGUUUUGACUUGUUCAGUAGAUUCUUUUGGAUUUGUUUUCUUUUUUCCUUUUAUCCGCCCCCCUUUUGUAGCUGCCAAUUUUAUUGGUACUAUGAAAUCUAAUUAAGCUUUUGAGCUUUUUCUUUUCAGUCACAUUUUUUGUUGUUGUUGUUGUUGUAAACCUCUGGCUCUACAGUGAGCUUUUGCAGUUCUGUGGAGUUUUCCUCCCCCACCCCCCGC